This 247-nucleotide ribosomal RNA is filed under the name Entoloma sp. 4 CRJH-2017. RNAcentral describes it as "partial 28S ribosomal RNA". It matches the Rfam family "Eukaryotic large subunit ribosomal RNA", at positions 104 to 344 of the family's 3401-position model. The record is from RNAcentral. Lineage: Eukaryota; Fungi; Basidiomycota; Agaricomycetes; Agaricales; Entolomataceae.
AGAGCUCAAAUUUUAAAUCUGGUAGUCUUUGGCUAUCCGAGUUGUAAUCUAGAGAAGUGUUAUCCGCGCUGGACCGUGUAUAAGUCUCCUGGAAUGGAGCGUCAUAGAGGGUGAGAAUCCCGUCUUUGACACGGACUACCAGGGCUUUGUGAUGCGCUUUCAAAGAGUCGAGUUGUUUGGGAAUGCAGCUCUAAAUGGGUGGUAAGUUCCAUCUAAAGCUAAAUAUUGGCGAGAGACCGAUAGCGAA